Molecule: long non-coding RNA, 1013 nt
Organism: Rhinichthys klamathensis goyatoka
Lineage: Eukaryota; Metazoa; Chordata; Actinopteri; Cypriniformes; Leuciscidae
Exons: 3
Source: RefSeq, a predicted model, not a curated record
AUGCUGCAUAUGAACAACAUGAGCGUCCUGCAGUUUUGGGUUUCCCUAAGCAAGCUCCUUUAUGCUGUGCACCACACCAGUCGCAGCAGUUCAGGACCGGGGCUAAAUUUCACACACCUGGGUUUCUCUAACUAAAAAGAGGGUUAGAUGACUGCUACACACAGCACUGUGUCAUCAUAAGCACACCUGUUGCUGGAUUUCUCGGAACUAAUGAACCUCAUAUAUUCACAAUGCACUUACUGGAGAAACUGAUGGGCGGCAGGAGUCACAUUACACUAGGGAUGGGCAAUGGCAAGUUUCAACGGCGGCUUUAAAUAUGUCUCAUCCAAUGAGAAUUCGGAGCUGAGCCAUAAAGCUGAAUCUACAUGAAUCUAAUGCCUUUUGCAUCUGACGUCUUGCAUGCUGUUCACUUCUACAGUUUGGGAACAGCGGGCCAAGUGGACCAUGAACAUCCCAUACAUCUCGAUGUCAAACCCUCAAGCUGCCGAAGCCCCUGGGAAGGAUGGAUAUUUCCGUGUGACGUGCAAGAGAGCGCUCAUGUGCACAGUCACCAAGGCUCCCGACACGAAUGGAGACACACAGGCAGUCAACGAUAAACAUGUGGGUGUACUGGGAAAUGAUAGAGAGCGACAUCCACGCCAGACAGACAGAGCACACCUUUCUAGACUUGUUGUGUGUGUGUGUGUGAGAGACAGAGACAGCCAUAGAAAGAGACCGACUAUGGACUAAUGAUUAAUGACAUUUAGAUUAUUAUUCAACUUCAGAGAUGUCCCACCCCCUUAACACACUCCAGAUGCAUAAGGAGAGAUGAGGUGAAGAUGAUUUAACCCGUAUUCUCUGGGAUUUUGGCGAAUAUGAUGGAUGGCAUGGAAGAUGCUCAGGGAAAGAGAGAUGCAUAAAUCAUACUUUGGCAACGGGUUUGACGCCGUUGAUUUAUUCGUUUCAGAAAAAGUGUUAUUAGGGGAGGAAUUUGUCGCCUUCUAUCUUUAAAGGGAUAGUUCACCUCAAAUGAC